This is a long non-coding RNA of Aplysia californica (California sea hare), 1406 nucleotides long. RefSeq lists it as uncharacterized. The record is from RefSeq and is a predicted model, not a curated record. Lineage: Eukaryota; Metazoa; Mollusca; Gastropoda; Aplysiida; Aplysiidae. The transcript is spliced from 3 exons.
GAAACUUGUCAUAUCUUUUAAAACUGGUCCACAAUUGCAAGAUAUGUGGAAAGCAUGUCAAUAAAUUAUGCUAUAAAAUGUGUUUCAAGAUUUCCCCUCCUUGUGUUUCUUGUGACAUGUAAAACGCUCAACCAAAGUUGUUAAAUCAGCAAUCGUUCAUAUCAGCGAGUUUUAACUUUCGAACACGCCAAUCUGGGUACCGGUACUUUCGUUCGAUUCCACGAACUUCACGCAACAAUUUUUAAUUUUAACAAUGGCCUCUCUGUCUCAUCGGUCUCACCGUCAAAGACAAAAGCCAACGAGUUAUGGCUUGAGAAUGCUGGAUGCAGCUCUUCAAAAGCACAAGGCCCCUACUACUCAUGAACAUACAAAACAGGAUGCCAGGCAUUGUUGAAGCUGUCAGCCAACAAGGAAAAGAAUGGUCUGGUGAUUACAGAAGUGAACUUGGAACACAAUCAUGAAAAGUUGGACCACCACUACCCAGAGGAGAGAAGGCUGAAUGCGGCACAGCUGGAAGAGCUGCACUCUCUUUUCGAUUUGAAUGUGCCUGUUUGAAAUAUUCGGGAACAUUUCGGUAAUAAAUAUGGGAUUCCCAUAACAGAGAGAGACAUAAGAAAUUAAAAGACAGCCAGACGCCCAGUUUUGACAGAAGAAAAUCAACUGUGGCAAGAACUUAACAGUCUGGCCCAUUCAGAUGGUGUGAACACCACAAUAAUCAAAGAUAAUGCUGAUGAUAAAGUUUCAGUCAUCUUUUUACAGACUCCACAAAUGAAAGCAAUGUGGAGUAAAUAUUCACAAACCUUAUUUAUGGACAUCACGUACAAGGUUAAUGCUCGAAACAUGCCACUGUUCGUUUUUCAGGUCAGUGAUGGGCAGAACAGGGGCCAAGUUGUGGCAUAUGCCAUUGUUACCGAUGAGCGUUCAAACACUAUUUGCUCAGUGUUAGACAUUUUUAUUACAAACAAUGACUGCUCUCAGCUUGGAGCAGUUGUUAUUGACAAAGACUUUUCGGAGCUCAAAGCAGAUAAAGAAAAAUUGCCUGAUGUGGAAGUCGUACUAUGUAAGUUCCAUGUCUUGCAAGUUUUUCAAGAAAGAGUGAAAAGUGAGCAACACAAGACCGCUGUCUUAGACAUUCUCCGAGGCAUGAUACGCUGUCGGACUGGAGAGGAGUAUGAAUUGCUGCUGUGUCGUUUGGCAAGUACGGCCUGUCAAUCGUUUUUAUCCUACUUUCAAAGUAAUUGGACUUGGAACUCCAUACCGACAUUUUGGGUUGGUUGCCAUGUCCGUAAUUAUUUGCACCAUGGCAACACGACCAACAAUUUUGUGGAAAACCACAACGCAGGGUUGGUGAUUUUUUAAAUUUUAAAAAUAAAUUUUUAAAUUUUAAUCAGAUUUUAAAAAUUUAA